CAGAAGGGGAGUCGGAGCAGA
RNAcentral lists this microRNA (21 nucleotides) under Bos taurus (domestic cattle). Its description in RNAcentral is "bta-miR-3154". Lineage: Eukaryota; Metazoa; Chordata; Mammalia; Artiodactyla; Bovidae. The record is from miRBase by way of RNAcentral.